Molecule: ribosomal RNA, 464 nt
Filed under: uncultured Klebsiella sp.
Lineage: Bacteria; Pseudomonadati; Pseudomonadota; Gammaproteobacteria; Enterobacterales; Enterobacteriaceae
Description: bacterial SSU rRNA
Rfam family: Bacterial small subunit ribosomal RNA
Source: RNAcentral
CCUACGGGGGGCUGCAGUGGGAAUAUUGCACAAUGGGCGCAAGCCUGCUGAUGCCAUGCCGCGUGUGUGAAGAAGGCCUUCGGGUUGUAAAGCACUUUCAGCGGGGAGGAAGGCGGUGAGGUUAAUAACCUCAUCGAUUGACGUUACCCGCAGAAGAAGCACCGGCUAACUCCGUGCCAGCAGCCGCGGUAAUACGGAGGGUGCAAGCGUUAAUCGGAAUUACUGGGCGUAAAGCGCACGCAGGCGGUCUGUCAAGUCGGAUGUGAAAUCCCCGGGCUCAACCUGGGAACUGCAUUCGAAACUGGCAGGCUAGAGUCUUGUAGAGGGGGGUAGAAUUCCAGGUGUAGCGGUGAAAUGCGUAGAGAUCUGGAGGAAUACCGGUGGCGAAGGCGGCCCCCUGGACAAAGACUGACGCUCAGGUGCGAAAGCGUGGGGAGCAAACAGGAUUAGAUACCCGUGUAGUC